UUUCUAUGAGUCUAGUUACUAGGCAGUGUAGUUAGCUGAUUGCUAAUAGUACCAAUCACUAACCACACGGCCAGGUAAAAAGA
RNAcentral lists this microRNA precursor (83 nucleotides) under Peromyscus maniculatus bairdii (prairie deer mouse). Its description in RNAcentral is "microRNA 34c (ENSPEMG00000005599.2)". The stretch from base 14 to 80 matches the Rfam family "mir-34 microRNA precursor family". Rfam says of the family: Human mir-34a was discovered computationally and later experimentally verified. Lineage: Eukaryota; Metazoa; Chordata; Mammalia; Rodentia; Cricetidae. The record is from RNAcentral.